UACGUAGGGAGCAAGCGUUGUCCGGAAUCAUUGGGCGUAAAGCGCGCGUAGGUGGCCUCAUAAGUCCGCUGUGAAAGUCAAAGGCUCAACCUUUGAAAGCCGGUGGAUACUGUGAGACUAGAGUACGGAAGAGGCGAGUGGAAUUCCUGGUGUAGCGGUGGAAUGCGUAGAUAUCUGGAGGAACACCGGUGGCGAAGGCGGCAUCCUGGACCGGUAUUGACGCUGAGGCGCGAAAGCCAGGGGAGCAAACGGG
Molecule: ribosomal RNA, 253 nt
Filed under: uncultured bacterium
Lineage: Bacteria
Description: partial 16S ribosomal RNA
Rfam family: Bacterial small subunit ribosomal RNA
Source: RNAcentral